RNAcentral lists this unclassified non-coding RNA (230 nucleotides) under uncultured Rickettsia sp. Its description in RNAcentral is "sequence contains ITS2". Lineage: Bacteria; Pseudomonadati; Pseudomonadota; Alphaproteobacteria; Rickettsiales; Rickettsiaceae. The record is from RNAcentral.
AUUACAUAUGCAUAUAGUGUUAAUUCAAUAAAUGUAUAGAUAUCGACUCACAAAGUUAUCAGGUUAAAUUAGCUUUAUCAACCAAUAACGAUGUUGUUGUAUGACUAAUGUCGUACCAUGUUGUCGCACUGUUAUCCGGCAGAAAUUAUGUUGCUGAGUAUUGUAGUAAAAGUUCAGAUAUGAUGUUAGGAUUUUUUUUGAGUCAUGCAACGACAUAACAGCGGACUACU